UACGUAGGGGGCUAGCGUUGUCCGGAAUCAUUGGGCGUAAAGCGCGCGUAGGCGGCCCGGUAAGUCCGUUGUGAAAGUCAAAGGCUCAACCUUUGAAAGCCGAUGGAUACUGCCGGGCUAGAGUCCGGAAGAGGCGAGUGGAAUUCCCGGUGUAGCGGUGAAAUGCGUAGAUAUCGGGAGGAAGACCAGUGGCGAAGGCGGGUCUCUGGACAGUUCCUGACGCUGAGGCACGAAGGUCAGGGGAGCAAACGGG
Molecule: ribosomal RNA, 253 nt
Filed under: uncultured bacterium
Lineage: Bacteria
Description: partial 16S ribosomal RNA
Rfam family: Bacterial small subunit ribosomal RNA
Source: RNAcentral